RNAcentral lists this transfer RNA (121 nucleotides) under Bacteroidota bacterium. RNAcentral describes it as "Bacteroidetes bacterium (marine metagenome) tRNA-His". It matches the Rfam family "tRNA". Rfam says of the family: Transfer RNA (tRNA) molecules are approximately 80 nucleotides in length. Their secondary structure includes four short double-helical elements and three loops (D, anti-codon, and T loops). The record is from RNAcentral. Lineage: Bacteria; Pseudomonadati; Bacteroidota.
GGCCUGGUGGUGAAUCGGAAGCACCAAUGACUAUGAAUUAUUAGUGGGAAGUUAAUUCUCUAAAGCUAUUUGAUUGAAUAGACACAAAAUAAUCUCGCAAGUUCGAAUCUUGCUCAGGCCA